GCAAUCUAUCAGGAAAGAUUACCAAAAACCAUUUGACAGUGAUUAGCACAACAGAUGUGAGAAAUUAAAGCAUAAGAUCUUCUUAACAAAGGCUUUGAGGAGUAAAUGAGAGAAAUAGAAAACAAAUGGCUUCUACUCUGCUUUUCUUAAACAUCGCAGUACUUGUGAAACUCUCUUCUUGAACAAAGCAAUUUCACAGCAUGAAGGAAAGCUGCAGAACCAUUCAGCUGUCAAGAAGGUGACUGAGAUGACAGUGUUUGCUUCUGGUCACUAUCAAAGUUAAACAUGCAAUGAAUACCUAGUAUGAUCUAAACUAUACAUCAGCUCCUUCAUAAGCUCAUGUCAUUAAAUCAUGUUGGUUGGAGAAGUGGGCUCCAGUCAAAAGUACUGUCAAUAGAGGACAGUAAGAGGUCAAAGACACCACAGCUGCCUUUCCAAAGACAUAAUCCUGCAGAGCCUAUCAAAUACUUAUUGUGAGAUUAAUUUUUCAGCAUUAUGAUUGGUUCCCCAAGGGAGAAAGCAGGCUAUAGCAGAGGACAAACAAAUAAAAGCACUAGGGGAAAAAGAAAUCUUCAUGCUUCUGGAUAAGUGUCAGCUCUGUAUUGUUAUAAGCUCUCUGGAUAAAGUACCAGUUCAAAAAUGCUUCCCUACAGUGAUACAUUCAAUAAGUCAUUAUCUGUCCUUUCCUACGUCAUUUGAUUUAGCUUCAGCAAUAUAUACUUUUCUUCCCACAAAACCAUAUUAAGACGUUAGAUCAAGGAGAAGUUCAUAAUUUCCUAGUGAUUAUAGGAAGAAAAAAUGGGAGAAAUACUAGAAUAAAAACACAUAAUGGAGAAUUAAGAAUGCUGUCAUGCACUGGAGCUGUGAAGGUCCUCUGCCACAAGAAUUAGUACUGAUUACCCUGGGUGUUUGACUCUCUGAACGAAUCACAAGUUACUAUUUUCCCCAGCAAAACUUUCACUGAUUAAAAAUACAAACUAAACCACCUUUCUUUGUAAAACUGUUUGUGUCUAGGAAGUAAUUUUUCCUCAUUACAUAUCAGAAGAUGUUUUCCCUUGUUACGGCACAUAUACCAAUGCGUCUAGAUCCUUACAAACAAAAGUACCAGCCAAUUUUCUGAAGUUAAAGAAAAGAGAAACACUUUGAGUCAAAACAGUAAAGCAAGGGACAACAUUAAUACAAAGGUACCCACUAUCGGUACAGAACUAUACAUAUUACAUUCGACUAUCCCAUUUUUUUUCCAUUUCUGCCAAACAUGGAUACAGUUAUACAAAAGAAAAGGUCUUCAACAAGCAGAACCUAGGUGAGCAGUAUACAGGAGCAUCUGAGUUCAUAGACACUAAAAGUGGAUGCAACUGUAUUUGCAGGAUACAUUACUUGGGUGCAUUGUACCAAAACCAAAGCUAAAAUUGCCAUGGUAGCAGUAUACGUUGGCUGUGAAGCAGAUGCCAAUAGGCGGUCACCUGACAAAACCCUACAACUGGGUUUCCAGGAUCAUGUGCCAAACAUGCUAACAUACUGACAGACUGUGCUUUAGCAGACUGAAAGGGUUCUAGAACAUGCUGAUAUUUCACAGGUGUAACAAUCUACAUGCUAAUGUCAGCAUUCAGCUAAACUAAGUGUAAGACUCACUGCUUGUGUGCUUCACAAUUCUGUUUUAAAGCAGCUACCACUUUUCUUUCAUUACCAAACGUGCCCCUUUAAUGUGAAUGCACAUUGUUUAAAGUUGUUACAAAUACAAUAGCUUAAGCAAGGAAGAAAAUCUAUUGAUAAGAGAGGCUUGACACAAAUAUUACCUAAGUAUUACCUAAGACAUAAGUACUACCUAAGAAACACAAGCAGAAGCAAAUCCUAUUCCUUAGUCCUACAGUCGCCAUGCUCUUUUCUUAUCUUGAAAUCUUUCUUUUCUGAAAAGAAGUCUUAGCCAUCUCUCCAUAAAUUUGAGUGGUCCCUUUUAAAACCUGUUUUGUAUAUCAGUGAUGACCUUUGCUACGUUCAAAAGUAAUCCGUAUACAUUUGCGCUGCAACUAAGAAAACAUACCACAUCUGCAACUGUUUGCAAUUCACCUAUAUAGCUGGCAUGACCCAAAAACUCAUAGUGAAGAAAGAGACGACUUUCCAGACAGUGCUGUAGUUGCAGACAACUACAAUCAGAGAGAUGGUGUGCUGAGCAUAAAUGGAGAGCACAAUCCAAUAGGCAUUGCCCCAGCUGUGUCAUUUGGCACUUAACUGGUAGAUGUGGCAAUUAAAUUUGAUGUAUCCACUCCAGUGGUAUUUUAUACCCCUCAGAUGUUGACCUCAGCAACUCACAGAGCCGGUCACUGUGGGUAUAUGCCUACAGCAUGGAACAAAUUUUUCCCAAAAUGCAACUGAAAAGAUAAAACUCAUCUCUGAUGCACUUCCCUUUCAACACUCACUUUCCCUUUUGAUCAUCUAUGUAAAAGCUUGAGUGGUUUACUUAGUGAAACAACACAAGGAAGUACUAUAAAGUAGUGGAAGUGUGAAAAGAAAUUGUUUAAAUCAGUAUGUGGAAGACUGCUACGUGGUACCAAUGAAGCAGCAGUAACAGCCUGCAUGCUUCUCACCACAAGAAGCAAACUGGGUUGAAGCUUCUACUGGUGAUGUUAAAUUAGCUUUGCAGAGCUGCCAUGAAAAUUUAUCAGGUCAGCCGGAAAAUAAAUACUUAUGCUUCCAUGUUGUGACAAGGAUGGGGGAUUGUGGAGAAGUGCAUUAAUUUGACUCAUUUAUUUAGGAGGGCAAGAUGACAUUAUGUCCUUUAAAAGAGUGGAUUAUUUUAAGCUUCUAUGUAUGGCAUUGCUUUUAUAAAGAGGAUCAAUGGCUCCUCCUGAGCUACCCACGCAGCAGGCUAGCUGCUGCCAGAUAUGCCUGCUCACAAGUGGUUCUGAUAGCACUUGGGAACCUCACCUGGGUGCAGUGGGAUGUUUUUACCCCUGUCCUAAGAGUAGGGUGCGGGAGUCUGUUUUGCAUGCUUCAUUUUGUCUGCUGGCUCCUGCUAGUUCUUGUAUGACUGACACAGGCUCUGUCUCCUCCACGCUGAAAAGCAGAGGGCUAGAUCUGAUGGGAUUACCUGGAAAUGUGUCCCAGCGAUUACAGUUAUGUAAAAGGCUUGCUACAAUGAAGCUCACUUACUUUUGCUGCCAGCACACAUGAAUGUUUCAGGAUUUACUUCCAAGUGUAAAAGACCUAACUGAUACAGCACAAUUUCUCUACUCUAAACAUAUCCUUUCUUUUAAAAAGGGUGAGUGAGGGCUUUUGAUUUUGCAAUACAAUCAUUAUGGUAAUGUUACUCUCCUGACCCAGCAAGAGCCAUAGAUCACACUUCUAAGGCUCUCUUUGAUCAGAAUGUCUUUACAUGAUAUGCAGUUCAUACCUACAUUAUUUCAUCUGCCUUCCACUAGACACGGCAUCCAGAUUUCCCUUUUGUUCUGCAAAGCAACUUCAAAGCUAUGCCUCCUAUUCAGGGACAGCUUAUUCUCAAAAUGCAAAUACAAAUACAAGCAUAUGGAGUUCUGCACAGAACCACCUUUACAUCUUUCUUUCUACCACAUUCUCAACUGCAGCUGAAAACUGUCCAACAUAAAUGCCACGUUUUAUUUUUCUUAUUUUCAGUCAUUAAAGUAUCAUUACUGUACUUAGGACUGUCACGUAAGAAUAGCGCCCAUCUCACUACAAAUAAAAUCUCAUUCAAUUAAAACAACUGUAAGUAAAAUAUUUUUUCUUGCAUCUUUCAUUUAGAAAGACUUCAAAGCAAGUAUACCAAUGGAUUACAUUAGAAACGUCUCCCACUAAUUAAACAGCCACCAAAAGCAGCGGAAUGGAGAUAUAGCAGCCAUACAGGACUAGAAGGAUUCCAUGCUGGUAUUUGAGGAAUGACACCAAGCAAACUCAAAACUACAGGACCUGAGCCAUCCAACAGGACAAGGGAUCUCAACAAAGCACUGUCUCCACACACUUCGUGCAGGUACAUGACUUAGGAGGUCUCCCUCUCUUCAAAUGUGCUAACUCCAGUAUUCUCCAAGCUGUAUGCAGAAGCAGGAGUGGCUUAUCUAAUAUCUGAAUUCACAAAAUGUCUGAGCAUGAGCAGCUUCGUGGUUUGGUACUUUUUGACACUGAAGUGAUACUUUAGGCUGACGAUCCUCAUGUCUGUGCCUGAGAAGAUCAUAGAGCAGAUACUCCUGGAAACUAGGUUAAGGCAUAUGUCAGAUGAGCAGGGGAUCUAAGACAGCCAGCACAGCUUCAUCAAGGGAAGAUCAUGUCUGACCACAAUCUGGUGGCCUUCUGUUAUGGAGUGGCACACUGGUGGACAAAGGAAGAGCAACUGAUGUCUACUUGGACUUCUGCAAAACCUCUGACAUGGUCCUGCACCACAUCUGCAUCUCUAAAUUAGAAAUACAUAGCUUAGAAAAGGGGGGAGGUUAUUCAGAACUAGUUGGAUGGUCACAACCAGAGGGUUGUGAUAAUUGGAUCUACAUCCAUGUAGAAAUCAGUGACAAAUGGUGUCCCUCAGGGGUCUGCCUUGGGUAUGGCGCUCUUUAACAUCUUUAUCAACAACACAUUUAGUGGGAAUGAGUGCAUCUUGGGUAAGCUUGCUGAUGACACUAAGCUGAGUGAUGCAGUUGAUACAACAGAUGCCAUUUGGAGAGACCUGGACAGGCUUGAGAAGUGGACCAUGUAAAACUAAUGAGGUUUAACAACACCAAGUGCAAGAUAUUGUACCUGGGUUGACCCAAUUCCAGAUAACUCUACAGACAGGGAGAAGAACUCACUGAAUGCAGCCCUGUAGAGGAAAACUUGGGGCUCCUGGUGGAUGAAAAUCUGGACAUGAGCCAGCAGUGUGCUCUUGCAGCCUGGAAAACCAACAGUAUCGCGGGCUGCAUCAAAAGAUGGAGAUGACUGUCCUCCUCUACAAUGUCCCUUUGAGGCCAUAACUGGAGUACUGCAUCCAGGUCUGGAGCUGGAAGAAGAGGCUCCAGGGAGACCCCACUGUGGCCUCCCAGGACUUGAAAGGAGCUUAUAAACAAGAGGAAGAUGGACUGUUUAUAUUAUCUCUUGGUGAGAGGACAAGCGGAAUUUUUUUUCAAACUAAAAGAGGGAAGAUUCAGCUGAGAUGUUAGGUGGAAUUUUUUUUACUCACGUGGUGGUGAGGCACUGGAACAGGAUGCCUAUAGAAGUUACCUUAGAAGCGUUCAAGGCCAGGCUGGGUGGGGCCCUUGGCAGCCCAAUCUGGUGGGUGGCAGCCCUGCUCAUGGCAGAGCGGCUGGAACUAGAUGACCUUUAAAGCUUAUUCCAACCUAAGCCACUCUAUGAUCUUUACCCUUUUAAAGAGCUGGAAUAAUGUGGUUUUGAGAGGAAGUUCUACAUGCUAUUUUCAACUUCUAAGCUUCCCAGUCAUACUGCUUAUUCACAGCUUUGGUAAACAAUGAUAAACAUACACUGCUAGGCAUAAUCUACUCUUCCAAAUGUACCAUUACUAAAAGAGUAAGUCUCAGUCACCAGCCAAAUACAAGAGGUUUGUCUGGGAACAAACAAUAUGUUAUUAAAACAUUUGAGAUUUUCA
Molecule: RNA transcript, 5578 nt
Organism: Gallus gallus (chicken)
Lineage: Eukaryota; Metazoa; Chordata; Aves; Galliformes; Phasianidae
Exons: 3
Source: RefSeq, a predicted model, not a curated record